RNAcentral lists this long non-coding RNA (739 nucleotides) under Pongo abelii (Sumatran orangutan). RNAcentral's name for it is "lincRNA". Lineage: Eukaryota; Metazoa; Chordata; Mammalia; Primates; Hominidae. The record is from RNAcentral.
GUAUCUGAGGUCCAGUGACCCCGAGAAAUUUAAUAUGAGAAGACACCAUGAAUGAAAUAUUAAUAUUUUAAAAUCAAGUACAAAGAGAAGAUUGCCUGUGAGUGGUUAUUCUCUUCAGUUGUCCAAUAGCUGUUAUUUAUCAAAUUAACACCAAAACAUUCAAACACUCUAAAAAUGAAUAGCUUCGCUUUAUAAGGAGAGUUGUGAAAACUUAUUAAGAACUCCUGCACAUAUUAUUAAAAGAUACCAUUUACACGUGAGAGUAAUUAUAAUGAAAUAUAUUAAAUGUCCGAAAGUAGCACCAUGUGGCAGAAUUAUCAGGAAAAGAAAUCGAAUUAGUACUGGAAGAAGACAUUCAAAUAAGAGAAUUACAUUUUCAAGACUCCUGCCCCUGCCAUGAGAACACGCCCUUUCCAGUUUGCUGGAGAAAUAUAAGAGAAGUCCAGUGAAAGAGAGCUGAAUUUCCCCAAUGAUGCCAUCAAGAUGAACUAACUACAGUUAACCAGCCAGCUGAUAGCAGAUGCAUGAGUGAGCCCAGCUGAGAGCAGGUGAAACCGAAAUUGACUAUAUCGUUUGAAACUUCAUCUGUGAAGUCCCUGGUGGUUUCCUAGAUGACUUCACAGUUGAGUUGCCUCUGAUUGGAAAAGCAGUGUUUUUGUUUUUCAGUUUGUACAAGAGGAAGAAGACGCAUGAUAUGUGUUUGGCUCAUGUGCCUGAAUAUGGCUCCACAGGGAAGACU